CCUACGGGAGGCAGCAGUGGGGAAUUUUGGACAAUGGGCGCAAGCCUGAUCCAGCAAUGCCGCGUGAGUGAAGAAGGCCUUCGGGUUGUAAAGCUCUUUUGUCAGGGAAGAAACGGGUUUGGCUAAUAUCCAGACCUAAUGACGGUACCUGAAGAAUAAGCACCGGCUAACUACGUGCCAGCAGCCGCGGUAAUACGUAGGGUGCAAGCGUUAAUCGGAAUUACUGGGCGUAAAGCGUGCGCAGGCGGUUUUGUAAGUUUGUCGUGAAAUCCCCGGGCUCAACCUGGGAAUGGCGAUGAAGACUGCAAGGCUAGAGUUUGGCAGAGGGGGGUAGAAUUCCACGUGUAGCAGUGAAAUGCGUAGAUAUGUGGAGGAACACCGAUGGCGAAGGCAGCCCCCUGGGUCAAGACUGACGCUCAUGCACGAAAGCGUGGGGAGCAAACAGGAUUAGAUACCCUGGUAGUCCACGCCCUAAACGAUGUCUACUAGUUGUCGGGUCUUUAUUGACUUGGUAACGCAGCUAACGCGUGAAGUAGACCGCCUGGGGAGUACGGUCGCAAGNUUAAAACUCAAAGGAAUUGACGG
RNAcentral lists this ribosomal RNA (585 nucleotides) under uncultured bacterium. Its description in RNAcentral is "bacterial SSU rRNA". It matches the Rfam family "Bacterial small subunit ribosomal RNA", at positions 338 to 916 of the family's 1533-position model. The record is from RNAcentral.